Parus major (Great Tit) is the source of this 3955-nucleotide long non-coding RNA. RefSeq lists it as uncharacterized. Lineage: Eukaryota; Metazoa; Chordata; Aves; Passeriformes; Paridae. The record is from RefSeq and is a predicted model, not a curated record. The transcript is spliced from 2 exons.
GCCACCUGCGCCCGGCCGGGUAACAGGCUCAGCCAAUCGCUCCGUUACGACUUGUUAGCUGAAAGUCCUUUGCAAGUCCCAUAUGAAUCUGCCAAGAAGUCUGGCCACUCAAAACAUGAAUUUUCCAGAUAAUUUGCUGAAAAGGGGAGUAAAAAGGAAGAAGGCCCAUCUCUAAUGACCCUGAUGACAAAACCAUUUGUCUGCAAGGACUUCUCACAGAUGACACAAGAAUUUAGUGUUUACCCAAAUGUCUUUGGGUCAGAUCUUUACAUAAAACAAACUGGAAUAUACCUUUAUGUAGCUCAAUCUUUUUCAACUGAUGCUUCAGAAAUUUUCUAUGAAGAGCCUCCACUUAAAAAAAGAAAGUAGUGAUGCUACCACAGUCCAUGCCAAAAUGUACCAAUAGGAUACAGGCUGGAAUCUUCAGCAAGUGGAAGUCAGUCUAUCUCCAAGAUUUAAAUAUUUAUAUAGGCCCUAGCUGGCAUGAACAGCAUAUGCAUUUCAGCAAGGACAAAGGAAGAGUUCAUCAUUCCUUUACAAGGACUCCCAGCCAGGUAUUUCUCAUUCUCACCUGUUCCUUUCUCCCAAACAGUCCACAAAGCCCAAUCUGUGACAUUCAGCAAGGACUGGAUGACAAGCAUGGUAGCAGAAAAGCCUCAGCAAGCCUAAAAUUCACUGGGUAGGUAAAGAAGGACUGUAAAGAAGUGCCCUUUCCAGGAUUCUGAUGGGAAGCAUAAACAGGCAAAACUGUUCUUUUCUUGCACGCUGACUUUUCACUGUGGAUUUCCUACUCAAAGGCCUUCUGACCACAAGGCAGCAUAAAUGAAAACAUAUCAACCUACUGGUAGAAAUGUACCUGCCCCUUAGCUGUUAUUCAAAAGGGUCUGUGUGCAAUGAGCAGGGAUCAGACUUUACUACAGGAAAUAUAUAUACCAUGUUAAUAUCUCUUGUUUACCAGUUAAUAUCUCUUGGUCUGAAGAGCUAAACAAAUAUGUUACAUUUUAUUGUCCAGGAAACCAAACAGUGUCCCCCAGCAGGUAGUACCAUAGCUUUUUUGUUGCAUUGGGCUCUGUAGGGAUCCUGAGCUUCAAGCAAAACAUGAGCUUGAAAAAAAAUACAAAACUUCUCAGCAAGUCCCAGGUUUACAGUAAAAGUAACAAAGCUAAUUGACAGAAAGAAAAAGUGCAGCUGUCAAGGCAAGAAGGACAUUGUUUUCAAAAGAAAAGUAGCUUUCUCUGUUCAGGGGCUUUUGCUUUAUUCUCAUCUGUGCUGUAGUGCAAAAUGGUGGGCUCAAGAUAAAAAGCAGCAUUCAGUGCCACUUUUGCUAGCAGCCAGUGAUGAACUUGCAGAAACCUUCCAGACCCUUUCCAAAUGGGACCAGGUUUGGGCUAGAUCUACUUUGAAAAUUGUUGCAGCACUAUCUUGGUCCCUUUCAUGUGCAUUUAAAAAUAAGGUAAUCUGGGAUUCAUACUCCUGGUAUGGAAAGUAAGACAUCCUCAAGGAGACCUCCUAAUAGACCUCUAGUUUUUCAAGCUGAACCACAUCCUCAAGCUGAACAUCAUUGUUAAUAGCAAUACAUUUCCACUUUCCUACCCAACCCUAUGAUGGGUCAUGCUUGACUAGAGGUGUGUCUGUUUUGUGGUGCUGGAGUAAUUCUGCUGAGGAAGAGCAUAAUUCUGGGGGGCCAAGACUUGUGCUCUUCACAAAAUGUCUUAAAACUAUCUGGAGUGGAUUCCCUUUCUUGUCCAAGAUGAACAGGCAGCAUAGUAGAUUUUGUACUACUAAUAAAAGUCAGUUUGCCUAGGAGGGUCUGAUGUCUGCAAAUUCUUAAAUAUUAACAGGACCACCAUCUUUGCGUUUAAAGAAAAUAAAACAAAACCAAAACCAAACCACACAUAUUUUGCAAAUAUAUUUAUUGGAAAAAUUGCUUAACUAACUUUAAAUUGUGCUUCAGAUGAAUACAUUUCAGACAGAGAAAAGCAGUACAAAGCAAAUAUAUAAAGUGACACCACAAUCCCAAAUGUAUCAUGCACAGCUCUAAAAUAAGCAGAUUUUUCUUUGAUAAGUCACUUAGAGUAUUUGAAUAUUGACUGGGAAAACAAGUCUUCAUGGAAGAAAUUACUUUUUCUAUGCAUUGUGGAAAAAAAAUUCCUAGAACAUGGGCAGGGUGAGAACUAAAAUCCCUGAUGAGUGCUAUUUGUUAUGAAAUAUAAUGCUUUGCAGUUCUUUGGAGGAGGGAUUUUCUUGCCACAAAGACUGUAUUAUUUCAACACUUAUUUUAAUGAAAAUAUGUCCAAAUGCAUUUGUUUAGCUGUUUUCACUCCUGUUUCAUUGAGCAGGAAGUUUCAGAAUAUAUGAUUUUUGAAAAACCUAUGUGGAAAUUGCACCAAAAAAUGUGCUUUGAAGUAAUGGUAUUCUUAUAUUUUAUCAUAAUGAAAUACUGAAAUAAAAAUUUGAAACACAAGGUUUACUUCCAUAUGUUGAUUCAACACAAUUUUUUCUUAAACACUUUGUCUGCCAUCACAAAAAUCAGAAUACCAGUAACCUCAGAAAACACCAGCACUAUACCCUAAAAUACAAAAUGUCUGUGUGAUCCCAUUAUGGCUAGGAAACUGUUCCAGUGGAAAGUAUUAGCCAUUAUCAGAGGUCAUUAAAAAAAUCCUUCCUAUUGGCUUUAAAUCUUUAUUACUUGCCAGGAGAGGAAAUUUUUCUGGAUUUACAAUUUUUAUUUUUUUUUUUUACAUGGAGUAGAGACACCACAGUUCUUGCUUCAGUUGUGUGCAGAGAAAAUCGAAAAUGGAAAGACAUCCAAGAUCUUCUGAGAUUCUGGAAUCCAGUGGGGAAGGCUGACCUUUUGCAUGUGGGAUGAAUAUAUCCCACAGAAAUUUCAGAUUGGUGCCAACCCCAGCACUGAUUUUUUUCAGCACUGAUUUUUUUCAGUUCAACUGCUGGCUGGCCAUGAGCUAUACCAAAGCUGCCAAAUUCAUUUCUCAAUCAGGAGCAAGUGAUUGGCCCUGGCUCUAUGGCACUGCAAAGAUGCAAGUUGUGCAAACAGCUGAUUUGAUCAUGUCUCCUUUGCCUGGCAUUAGGCAGCUUAUGACUUUGAAAUAUUUAUUAUAUUGCCAGAGUUAACUGAUGUUUUCUAUAGCAGAACCCAAUAUGUUUGAUAAACAGUGAGAAUUUCCUUGGCAGUUCAAGGAAUGGAUCUUUUCACCCCAGUGUCCUCAUAUUUUGCAAAAUUCCCAUUCAUCUACACAAGGUUGCCAAGCCAUGAGAAGAUAUUCACUGUGAGGUCUACAACUUGGAAAGAGAGGCUCACCAUUCAGGAGGGCCACCACCAUCGGCCAGGUAGUGCAGGGACAAUCAGGUCUGGGAACAGGCACCAGAGAUGCUCUGGAUGGACUCUGGCACUGCAGCCACAAUAGGAGGGGAAGGGACAUUAUUAGGACCCCAAACAUUCUGCUCCAAGGCAGAAAGCCAUCUCAGCCUCUGGAUGAGAUGAUGUGGUUAUCAAGAUCUGGCUUAGGGCUGGGAAGAAAAGCAUUUUCUGUGAUUGUCAUGGUGUGAUAGUACUUUUGAUCCUGGGCAAGCCAGAGAUCACACAGAAAGAAAACCAACACAACAACCCACAAACCCGCAACAAACAAAAAUCCACCCCCACAUUAAAUUAAGGAUCAGAUUGUUCCUAUUUUAACUCUGUUGAUUCAUCUAGAUUCAUCUUCCAACAAGAUUCCUGCACAAAGAGCUUGGGGCAUCUAAAGAACUAAGGGCUUGGGGUCUGGAAAUGCUUAGUUGAAAUUUUGGCUCUUUCACUACCUUGUGCAGUUUCCAGCUGGGUAAUUCAUGUUUCAGUGUCUCAGAUGGUUCAUCAGCAACUCAGAGCGACAGCAGUGUCCUCAUAGAAGUAGAGAUCAGAAAAUAAAACCAUGUUCCUAAAUAUGUAGAUUAUUAACAG